Anarrhichthys ocellatus (wolf-eel) is the source of this 4880-nucleotide RNA transcript. It is a transcript of the gene named HECT domain and ankyrin repeat containing E3 ubiquitin protein ligase 1, with no coding region annotated. NCBI's taxonomy places the organism in Eukaryota, Metazoa, Chordata, Actinopteri, Perciformes, Anarhichadidae. The transcript has 20 exons. The record is from RefSeq and is a predicted model, not a curated record.
AAAAAAUGCUCUACAGGAAUGUACUACUGUUUUUAUUUAGUUUGUCAUGUGUUUGUUGUGUUACAAAUAAUAAGCUACUUCUAAAUUCCGUUAGGCAUCCCUGUGUUGCAUAAUGACAAUAAAUGUUCCUUUAACCAUUGAUGUCUGGAUACACCAAUCGAAAUAGAAUCAUUUGCAAAUAAAGUGCAGACAGUCUGUCUUAAAUAUGUUAUUUGAGAAGGUGAUGGGAUUGCCUGCAGUCUGAGCCUAUGUUGCUCUGUCCUCUCUCUGUACAGCUGUGGGUCAGUGGAGUGUCUGGUUCUGCUGCUAAAGAGAGGAGCCAACCCAAACUACCAGGACAUCUCAGGCUGCACCCCUCUGCACCUGGCUGCUAGGAACGGACAGAAGAAGUGUAUGGGCAAACUGCUGGAAUAUAAUGCUGAUGUCAACAUCUGCAACAAUGAGGGACUGACUGCUAUCCACUGGUUGGCAGUGAAUGGGAGGACGGAGCUCCUCCAUGAUCUGGUCCAGCAUGUGUCCAACGUGGAUGUGGAGGACGCCAUGGGGCAGACGGCUCUACAUGUAGCCUGUCAGAACGGACACAAAACUACGGUGUUGUGUCUUCUGGACAGUGGAGCUGACAUCAACCGGCCCAACGUCUCUGGAGCCACGCCUCUUUACUUCGCCUGCAGCCAUGGCCAAAGAGACACAGCACUGAUCCUGCUCUCUCGAGGUGCCAAAUACCUCGCUGACAACAAUGGAAUCACUCCUCUGGAUCUCUGUGUGCAGGGUGGAUAUGGGGAGACCUGCGAGAUCCUCAUCCAGCACCACGGCAGACUUUUCCAGACUCUCAUCCAGAUGACACAAAAUGAUGAAAUGAAAGAGAACAUGCUCAGGCAGGUUAUGGAGCAUGUCUCUCAGCAGAGUGACAGUCAUUACCAGAGGAUCUUGACCAGUCUUGCUGAAGUGGCUACCACUAAUGGACACAAGCUUCUCAGCCUAUCCAGCAGUUAUGAAGCUCAAAUGAAGAGUCUGCUGAGAAUCGUUCGUAUUUUCUGCCAUGUAUUCCGCCUGGGCCCUUCAUCACCCAACAAUGGCAAUGACAUGGGCUACAAUGGCAACAAGACGCCUCGCAGCCAGGUCUUUAAGAUGUGUGCGAGACAGAUGGAGGUGGAGACGGUACAAAAAGAUGAAUGUUCCUGGACAGGUUCUGCUGUCUUUGAUCCAUUGGAGCUGCUGUGGCACUCCCUGGAUGAGUGGCUGGUGCUCAUCUCCACAGAGCUGGAGAGGAACAGGAAGAACCCGUCUUCCUCCUCCUCCAGCAGUGAGAUAGCCUCUCUGCUUCUCAAACAACGGGAGGUCGACCACUCUGGCUCCAAGCCAAAGCUGCCCUCCUUGCUGGACCGUGAAGCCGUCAUGGAAACAGAGGUGUACGCCGAUGGGGAGGACGUCAUCUCCAUGACAGCCAGUCGGCUCAGUGCUGUGAUUCAGGCCUUCUAUAUGUGCUGCUCCUGUCAGAUGCCACAAGGAAUGACAUCCCCUCGCUUUAUUGAGUUUGUCUGCAAGCAUGAUGAGGUGCUCAAGUGUUUUGUAACCAGGAAUCCAAAGAUCAUCUUUAACCACUUCCAUUUCCUGCUUGAGUGUCCAGAGUUGAUGUCACGCUUCAUGCACAUUAUCAAGGCUCAGCCCUUCAAGGAACGCUGUGAGUGGUUCUAUGAACAUCUGCUGGCCGGCCAGCCAGAUUCAGACAUGGUGCAUCGUCCGGUCAACGAGAACGACAUCCUGCUCAUCCACAGAGAUACCAUAUUCAGGAGUAGCUGCGAGAUGGUUUCCAAGUCCAGCAAUGAGAAACUCAAACAGGGCAUUGCUGUUCGCUUCCAUGGAGAGGAGGGGAUGGGCCAGGGUGUGGUUCGGGAGUGGUUUGACAUCCUGUCCAAUGAGAUCAUCAACCCAGACUAUGCUCUGUUCACUCAGUCAGCUGAUGGUACGACUUUUCAGCCCAACAGUAACUCCUCUGUGAACCCAGACCAUCUGAACUACUUCCAGUUUGCAGGUCACAUCCUGGGUCUGGCUCUGUACCACCGACAGCUGGUCAACAUCUACUUCACCCGCUCCUUCUACAAACACAUUCUGGGUAUCCCGGUGAACUACCAGGACGUGUCGUCCAUUGAUCCAGAGUAUGGGAAGAACCUGCAGUGGAUCCUGGACAACGACAUCAGUGAUCUGGGCCUGGAGCUCACCUUCUCUGUAGAGACGGACGUGUUCGGGGCGAUGGAGGAAGUGCCGCUCAAACCCGGAGGGACCAACAUCCUGGUCACCCAGGACAACAAGGCCGAGUACGUCCAGCUGGUUACAGAGCUGAGGAUGACGCGAGCCAUCCAGCCUCAGAUAAACGGCUUCCUGCAAGGAUUCCACACCUUCAUCCUCCCCUCGCUCGUCCAGCUUUUUGAUGAAUACGAAUUGGAGCUCCUGUUGUCAGGGAUGCCAGAGAUCGAUGUGCAGGAUUGGUGCAGGAACACUGAGUACACCAGUGGCUACGACACUCAGGAGCCAGUCAUCCAGGUGGGACUGACUCCUCCAUAACUACACAUGUAUGCCUCACUUGAAUCAUAUGGGUGCCGAUGAUAUUUACCAGUUCGGUUAUUCAAACCGUAGGUGCAGAUUGUUACUUAUUGCAUUUAUGGAUUCUUUAAAAAUAUUUCAAGGAAAGGAACAUUUACCAAGCCAUAAACUCUUUAAAUGUGGGACCAGAAAGAAGAGUGAUCAGAAUUGCUUAUGCCAAAAGGGAUGCAAUAUGUAUGUCUCCUCUGCAGAUAAUGGAAUCAAUCUUUACCACUGUAUGUGACAUUAGCAUGGCAGAGUUUGCACACAGCUUUUAUAGAUCAAGCUUCGCAUAUUUAAAGAUCACCUAUUAUGCAAAAUGCACUUUUUCACGCAUUUUAAACAUAAAUGUGUGCCCCUGGUGUCACAAAAGAACAGCCUUUCUCUUUUUCCCCUGCUCCAUCUUAAAAAAACCUGUGAAAAAAAGGGUCAUGAAUUGUGGACAUUUGGUGCCGUAUGUCAUAAGGGUUCCCCGAUGGAACAGUAGAACCAUCCUCAGCUUGACAGGGUCAGUAACGUUACACAGCAGGAUUCACCUCAAACUGAAGCUCUGGUGGGAUCUGGACGGCUGUCUGAGACUCGACUUCAAAACUGGAGCUUGACCUGAUGCUCGAUCCUAAAGCUCCUGUCUGAUGAGGUGUUCCUGAACCCAGCAGACUCUUCACAGUAUGAGAACCCAUCAGAGGAGAAGACGAGUCAGGAUGACCUCUGACCUGAGAGCUCCAUCAGCAUCCGACACAACUUUAGUCACAAGACAAGAAACCCUUUACUGAUGGAGCACAUGAUCUGGACAGUUUACAUACAAAUUAUGGCUUUGUUACUUUUUGCAUUGUGUACUCAAUUUUAAUGUCAGUCUGUGAAUAAAGGGCUUUAUUUUGAAGGAGUGAUUUGUCCUUUUUAAAUCCAGGUAGUAAAUACUGACUAAGCAACACAACACACCUAUUUCGUCAUAGAUGACAAAAUAUUUUGACAAUAAUAAAAGGGUGUACGGUGUACUGGUUCGUCUUUACUGUGAUGAACGCACACAUGGGAGAGACAUCACUGAUGCACGCACACAUACGAGGACAUGGGAGAGACAUCACUGAACCACACGGCUUAGACUGGCUACGGUCGCCCACAAGUAUAAGUUUGUCAGUUUUUGGUUUCUUCAAAAUGUAAAUUAAUUUAAGUGUAAUUGAAUUCCCAUUUUGUUACUGCCAACUGAAUGAAUCACAUUACACUUACAUUAUGGGAUGGGCUAUUUCUCUCAAAACAGAUGUGUUCUGUAUAUGAAUGAAAAUGAGCUAUACUAUGGAUCUUCACUUUUUUACAUUUUCUUCUCUCUUCAUAUAUGUUCCCUUACAUUGCCAAGAAAGUGAAAGUUGAUAGAAUCUUGUUUUGAGUGGAAUAUGCCUUUAAAAAAACGAAAAACACCAGAUAUAGAUUUUCGGUCAUAUUGCCCCUAGUUUCAGACACAAUCGACAUUUCAUAGCAUGAAUAUGGCAUUAACUGUGUGACAAGUGAAAACGUUUCUAGAAGAUCAGUAAUUCAGCUGUGUAGACGUGCUGCCUAACUGUCACUGACAUCGUGUGUAGUCAUGGUAGCAUGGCACCAGCUUGUACAGUAAUCAACAGUCGUCUCUUUACCAGAAAUAAUCACCUGACUACUUUUUCACAUCUAUUUCCCACCACCACACUGAUAGCCACUGUGUUUGCUAACAUGUUAGCUCUGCAGCUCACAUUGAUGUAUAAAGAUAAAAUAAACAGCAUUAUUUACUGGAAAAAAGGGUCAAAAGAAAUCUGUAAUCUUGGUGGCGGAUGACAUUCCUGCUGGAACGUGUGCUGUGUUUAGUUUUAAUUCAUGGUAAAAGUGUUCCUAAACCUCCAUGUGGACACAGCUGAGGGAUGCUGUUAACAGGUGAUCUCCACACAAAUGCAUCUGUGGUUGUUGUUACGACCGCUGAGAAUAUGUCGCUCUCCUCGUGUAUGUCUUUGUUUCCUUUAUCAUUACAAUAUCAAAUCAUAUCUGAUUUGUGUUACGUUUUGAAUGGCGGUUGUUGAUGUAGAAAACAGCCUUUAACUUUUGAACGUAAAAGAAUGGAAUACAUAAGGGUUUGAACUCCUAACACUCACAUACAGCAGCCAUGUCUUAGAAACAGGAGGCAGCCAGGUGAAGGUGUGACCACACUGUGUAGACCUGAAGACCAUGCUGUCGUCUCUGUGUUCUUUAUGGAGGACCAAACAUGUCUUAAGUAUAAAUAAAUAAAUGAAUACAGAAAUAUUGAAAUGCUGAAAUGAAUAAAUACAACUUGAUACCUAAAC